UCCUGUCAGCAUAACAGGACCUC
This 23-nucleotide non-coding RNA is filed under the name Rattus norvegicus (Norway rat). The record is from RNAcentral. Lineage: Eukaryota; Metazoa; Chordata; Mammalia; Rodentia; Muridae.